UGGGGAAUUUUACGCAAUGGGCGAAAGCCUGACGUAGCGACACCGCGUGAACGAAGAAGCCUUUUGGGGUGUAAAGUUCUGUCGGCUGGAACGAAAAAAAUGACGGUACCAGCAAAGGAAGCAUCGGCUAACUACGUGCCAGCAGCCGCGGUAAGACGUAGGAUGCGAGCGUUGUCCGGAUUUAUUGGGCGUAAAGAGUUCGUAGGCGGUUAUUUAAGUCUGAUGUUAAAUACUGUGGCCUAACCACAGAACCGCAUUGGAUACUGGAUGACUUGAGUGCGGUAGAGGCGAGUGGAAUUCCCAGUGUAGCGGUGAAAUGCGUAGAUAUUGGGAAGAACACCAGUGGCGUAAGCGACUCGCUGGCCCGUAACUGACGCUGAGGAACGAAAGCCAGGGGAGCGAAUGGGAUUAGAUACCCCCGUAGUCC
RNAcentral lists this ribosomal RNA (427 nucleotides) under uncultured bacterium. Its description in RNAcentral is "bacterial SSU rRNA". It matches the Rfam family "Bacterial small subunit ribosomal RNA", at positions 355 to 796 of the family's 1533-position model. The record is from RNAcentral.